This 468-nucleotide ribosomal RNA is filed under the name uncultured bacterium. RNAcentral describes it as "partial 16S ribosomal RNA". It matches the Rfam family "Bacterial small subunit ribosomal RNA", at positions 28 to 507 of the family's 1533-position model. The record is from RNAcentral.
GACGAACGCUGGCGGCGUGCUUAACACAUGCAAGUCGAACGGAAAGGCCCUGCUUUUGUGGGGUGCUCGAGUGGCGAACGGGUGAGUAACACGUGAGUAACCUGCCCUUGACUUUGGGAUAACUUCAGGAAACUGGGGCUAAUACCGGAUAGGAGCUCCUGCUGCAUGGUGGGGGUUGGAUAGUUUCGGCGGUUGGGGAUGGACUCGCGGCUUAUCAGCUUGUUGGUGGGGUAGUGGCUUACCAAGGCUUUGACGGGUAGCCGGCCUGAGAGGGUGACCGGCCACAUUGGGACUGAGAUACGGCGCAGACUCCUACGGGAGGCAGCAGUGGGGAAUAUUGCACAAUGGGCGGAAGCCUGAUGCAGCAACGCCGCGUGCGGGAUGACGGCCUUCGGGUUGUAAACCGCUUUCGCCUGUGACGAAGCGUGAGUGACGGUAAUGGGUAAAGAAGCACCGGCUAACUACGUG